UACAAGGAUGCUCCGGUGUUCUAAGCAGACUAGAGAACGAUGCUGGGCCCGACCGAAUAGCCCACGCGAGUUAAAGGCCCCCUCUGGGCAAGAGCGAGUGCUCCGGGCUGGGCACAAACACAAAAAAAAAGUAAAGCGGAGACAUCGAUGGUCCGACCGGCCGCAAGAGGGAGGCCGACGAAGUGAGGGCAGGCCGACGGGUGGGGGAGGAUGAGGGGGCGACAAGCGCGGCAAUCAGACGUCGUAGAGAGCUGGCGGCGUGGGUGGGGGCCGGAGAUAAAGACGGAGCCGCUGAAGCGACCAGAAACACUAAGCGUAUUUAGUUCAACGUGACUAUAGCGGUCACCAAAAUCACAUUAACUGCAAAAAGGAGACAAAAAGUACAGGUGCAAAGCACAUUCAUCCUCUCCCUUGACAAGUGUCCCUCCACCUCUUCUAACAGUCCACUCCUAGAGAAUGGACACGUAGGUACUAAAAGAGGUCCAAACGGGAGACCUAGAACCUCCUUAAGGGGGCGUACACCUAACCUCCUAGCUGGCUAGUACGUAUGAACAGAAUAAAGGACCAUCGUACACCUAACCUCCUAGCAACCUCACCAGUGAGGAGCAUGACCAAGUCGCAACGGCAUCAAAUAUGCGCGUGCAUAGAACACUUCUGAUGAUGGAGCACGGGAGCACCGCGUAGGAAUAGCCCUAGAGACGGUUCGGCUAACUCAGGGUCCGGUUACUCUUGAGCUGUUAACCGUCGGUCCACCGACCUGGCCAGUCGCGUGUGUGAAAACGUGUUUUGGGGGACGGCAAAGGAAAUUAGUUGGGCGUGAGUGGAGGUGGACUUAAACGGCACCGUAACUAGUUAGUUUUGACAGAAACGGCACCACCCGCCUCGUUUGGUAAGUUGGACUGGGAUAGGUUUGUGAUGGAACAAGCACGUUGUCAGAGACUCGAAGUCUUGCGGUAAUCUCACAAGUCAGACAACAGACAACGUAGUUGCAUGGUAAGGGUACCGAAACUACUCUCCUUUUAUCUUUGGGUACAGCUCAUAACGUCUGUAAACAAACUACGACGAUUCCAAGUAGCACUACGGCGACUUCUUCGACUCUUCGUUUGGUUCGUUUUUAACCUUCAAUGGGCAGUUUAACGAAAUGACUUCUUCGACGUAAAUCUUUCUUCCUUCGUUCUCCUGCUUAAUUUCGUUCAUUACGUUGUCCUCGUAGUGAAACUCGCACAGUUCCGUUCUGCCGUACCACAAAAGACAUUUUCACGUCCGCUCCUGGCCAGGCCGGUGCACCGACGGUUAACAGCGCGACACUAUCCGGACCCUGAUUUAGCAGUGUAGGUCGCGUUCAAUUCCCUAAAUCCUAGUAUAGGCUCGUACAGGACCCUACGCCACCAGCACUGGGUCGUACGCCUGCGUAAGGCCGGCAUAGGACAGGCGGUGAACUACUUGUGGGUAGGCCCUACAAGGCCGCAACAUCUGUGCGCCGCGUGCUGAUAGGAACCAGUCACCAGUGUGAAUUACUCACCGUUGCUACGCGGCUGCUCGAAAACCCGUUCGUGGCUCGGGCCGGCUGGCGGUAAGCACAUAGACGGCUGCCUGGCUGCCACGUCUAGGCUCGCCGAUCUCCUCCUCGGUGACGGACGUACACUGGAACGCCGGGACGGUCCCGGAAAGCCGCUCCACGGGCCGGUCAGGUACCGCGCCGGGCCGGAGGGUGUCGGCCGGCUCGAGUUCUGGCUGGCCUAGGCGGGGUUUAAGCCGGCCGCCCACGCGUGUGGUCCACCGGCACCAACCCAUCGAGCCGCCGCGGCUCUCCUUCCCCGACCUGCUCAAGCGCAGGCUUGACGUGCCGAUGUUACCGUCGCCGCUGCUGUCGCCGUCGCUCCCCUUCUCACCCCUUCUCACCUCCCCCACGCCGGUCUGCCUCCCUCCCCCGUCUAUCUUUUUCUGGGUAGGACACGGUGGCUGCCCGCCCGGUCCCCUCCUGUGCGCGUCUGCCGGGCGCACAGGUGCACCACAGGCAAAAUGGGGUUUUCGCCGCGUUUGAACCCGGCGUCUACCCAGCUUUCGCCCGUGUUUUGCCUAUUUUCAGACAAACGAGGGCGCGCGACCCGGCGGAGCAAACAGGCAAAAUGGGAUUUACUUGCCCCGGCCUAUCUUAUC
This 2160-nucleotide ribosomal RNA is filed under the name Triticum aestivum (bread wheat). RNAcentral's name for it is "partial small subunit ribosomal RNA". Lineage: Eukaryota; Viridiplantae; Streptophyta; Magnoliopsida; Poales; Poaceae. The record is from RNAcentral.